Melospiza melodia melodia is the source of this 3766-nucleotide RNA transcript. It is a transcript of the gene named aminopeptidase O (putative), with no coding region annotated. The record is from RefSeq and is a predicted model, not a curated record. NCBI's taxonomy places the organism in Eukaryota, Metazoa, Chordata, Aves, Passeriformes, Passerellidae. The transcript has 18 exons.
UGCCUUUCCUCGCCAGCUAAAUGGCUGCGCCCAGAGCAUAGGGAGCAGUGCAGGAGGCGGAAUGCAAGGCAGUAAGGAGCCUGCGGCCGGCGAUCGCUGCUGUCCUUUUUCACGCAGCUUGGAUCGAUGGCAUUCUUGUGGGCUGCUGGUGUUCUGAAAGAACUUUAAACGUGGAUGUGUUCGACCCUCUCAAAUCUGUUCCACUCAUUGUCCUCUUUACAGUGGAAACACAUUGCAAGAGGUGGAUAAACUACAAUUUCAAUACUGUAAUCUUAUUCAAAAUUAUUUUUAGCGCUGGGAGACUGAAUAUUCUCCUUCUGGAGUCAUCAUAUGUCAGAAUUGUUCAAGGCUUUGUGAAACUGUUGCCCAAUAGGUGAACAUGGAGACGCAGCUAGACCCCAUGAAGGAUGAUUUGCCUUUAAUGGCAAACACUAGUUACAUGCUUUUAAAGCACUAUGUAUUGGACUUGGAUGUGGAUUUUGAAAGUAAAGUUAUUGAAGGCAGCAUAGUUUUGUUCUUUGAGACUGGGAGCCAGUACAGGAAAACCAUCAGUGCUGGCAAAGAAUGCUGCCAGUCACAGUUUGAUGAAACCUGUAAAAUGAGGGCAUCUGAGCCCUGCCGCAUUCCUAUGAUAAAUGUUAGUACUUGUUCAUCUAAAACGGAAUGUAAUGAUUUUGCUGUCAGUGGUAAAGAAGAGGAAGCUACUUCUGAUGAAAAUGGUAACUAUAGCAACAAUGAACAGGCUUCUGGGAUUUCUAGUUCAAAGGACUGCUAUGACAUAGAGGAUCAUGGAAACAAGGAUUUUCUGCUGGUAUUGGACUGCUGUGAUUUAUCUGUGCUAAAGGUUGAAGAGUUAGAUGUUGCUGCUGUGUCAGGCAUUGAAAAAUUUACAAGGUCUGCCAAGCUAACUGGUGUUUCAAAGGAGCUGGAAAAUAUCAGGAAUCAGAUUGUACAUGAACUUGUGACUUUACCUGCAGAUCGCUGGAAGGAACAGCUAUACUAUUUUACUCACUGUAGCCAGGCACCUGGCUGUGGGGAGCUUCUGUUUAGUACUGGCACCUGGAGCUUGGAGAUAAGGAAAUCAGGAAUUCAGUCUCCAGCGGACUUUCCUCAUGCAAUAAGAAUAUGGUACAAAACCAAGCCAGAGGGAAGAUCUGUUACAUGGACUACAGACCAGAGUGGCAGGCCAUGUGUUUACACAAUGGGAUCACCAAUAAACAACAGAGCCCUCUUUCCAUGCCAAGAACCACCAACUGCCUUGUCAACCUGGCAAGCCUCAGUUCGAACAGCUGCAGGCUUUGUUGUGUUAAUGAGUGGUGAAAACUCAGCAGAACCAGUACAGCUUCGAGAAGGUAUCUUGAGCUGGUACUACUAUGUGUCUAUGCCAAUGCCAGCAUCCACCUUCACUAUUGCUGUGGGGUGCUGGCAGGAAGUUAAACAGCAGUCCUUCAAACAAAAAGCUGCUAUUGGAACAAACACUGAAUUUUCCUUGCCAUCAUCACAAACUGAUUUAAGGUGGCAUGAAGAAAUCUGUGGUCAUGUGGAAUAUCCCUGCCGUUUCCAAAAUCCUGCUGCCAGGUUGCAAGCAGUCAUUCCUUAUAGAGUCUUUGCUCCCUGGUGCCUUAAGGAAAGCUGUGAAGAAUAUUUGCUUCAGUUAGUUCCUCAGUGCCUCUCAGCUGCUUAUGCCACACUGGGUACCCACCCCUUUUCCAGGCUUGAUGUUCUGAUAGUUCCUUCCAACUUUUCCAGCCUGGGAAUGGCUAGCCCACACAUCAUCUUUCUGUCACAAAGCGUACUGCCAGGAGGAAGCCAUCUCUGUGGAACUCGUCUGUGCCAUGAAAUUGCUCAUGCUUGGUUUGGACUAGCCAUUGGUGCUCGUGAUUGGACAGAAGAAUGGAUAAGUGAAGGGUUUGCCACUUUUUUAGAAGAUAUAUUUUGGGCUAGAGCACAACAGCAGCUGCCACAUGAUGAAAUAAAAGAGCAACAGGAAUUGAAAGCUUUACUUCGCUGGCGCAGACUCAGAGAUGAGGUGCAAAACUCUGAAGAAGAGCUGCAAGUUUUAAGGCCCAAAAAGGAGACCACAGGAGAAGUGAGUGAGUCUGGAGCCUCUGUUGUCAAAUAUGGUCUUAAAGCAGAAAAAAUCUUCAUGCAGGUUCACUAUUUGAAGGGUUAUUUUCUUUUACGAUCUCUGGCAAGGAAAAUAGGAGAGGUCUCAUACCUUGCAUCUUUACGGAAAUUUGUCAUUAAGUUCCAUGGGCAGCUUGUCCUUUCUCAGGAUUUUCUUAGCAUGCUGUUGGAAGACAUUCCUAAACAAAAACAGUCUGAGUUAACUGUAGAAAGUAUCUUCCAGAACUGGCUGGAUACUUCUGGAAUACCAAAGCCCCUGCUGGAGGAGGGAGAGACCUGGAAGGAGUGUCAGCUCGUCCAGCAAGUGAGCGGCGAGGUCACAAAAUGGAUUCAGACAAACCGGAGGAUCAGAAAAAGCAGCAAAAAGAAAAUGAAGCAGGAUGAAGUUGUUUUCCAGCAGCUUCUCCCUGACCAGCUGGUCUUACUUCUGGAGUUUCUCUUGGAGGAGAAGACAUUGUGUCCUAGAAUACUGCAGUGCUUAGAGAGAACCUACCAGCUCCAGGAGCAAGAUGCUGAGGUUCGUCAUCGGUGGUGUGAACUUGUCAUUAAACACAAAUAUGAGCCUGGGUAUGGAGACAUUGAGAGAUUCCUUAGAGAGGAUCAGGCUAUGGGUGUGUAUCUCUAUGGUGAAUUAAUGGUGAAUGAAGAUGCAAAACAACAAGAACUUGCACGGAAAUGCUUUGCUGCAGCACAAGAACAUAUGGAUGCAUCCUCAGCCAAAGUGGUGGCAGAGAUGUUAUUCUGAAAAGCCCAGCAGCGGGAGCAGUGAGUUACAUACAUGUAGGCAUAGCUGGAGAACGUGGAGAAUGGCUUUGUUGUAAUGGACUAUACAAGAGGCAACUGAAAGAUCACAGACAACUCUUUUAAUAGAUCUUCUGCUAAACUCCGAUGGUACUAGGAUUUCAUUGACCCAGGACAUCAAAGGAAGGAUUAUGUGACUGCUAAAACAAUCAGCUGACAGAAAUAUUUACCUUUCUGUAUUUCUAGAGGUCCACUGUAACUGAGAACGCAAGACAAACUACACACACACGAGCUUCUCUGACUCUAGGUAAUUCUUUGAUACAGGAAUUUCUGGAUUUAUCCUUGUGCUUUGGUAAUACAAUCAUUCUGGUUUGCAGAUGCCAAAGAUUCUUGAUUUGAACAUCUUUAUUAAUUUGGGCAUUCUGAAAAUGGAUGGAGUUGUAUUGUGUACUUAAAACUUUGUUUGUAACUUCUAUGUCAUAUUUAUAAAGCCUCAGUGUGAAAUCAGCAGGGGCUGGGGUGGGGCUUGUAAGAUUAGAUAGAGGCAGAAAUAAACUGUGGAAAGUUACCUGCCAUCAUCCUAGUGAUGGAAUGGGACUGAAGAAAAAACAAAGAUCAUCAUGCUCUCUCUGUCAUGUUUAGGUGAAAUUUUACUAGAAGUGUCAGACCUCCCAUUUUCUGAAAAUGUCUUUCAUGCCUUUGUGAUACUUAUUUUGCAAUGAUAUCUCAAGUGUAUCCUUUCCUGAUCAGUGAAUCUCUACAUUUUUAGAAGACAUCUUCAUUGUUCCUUUCAGAGAGUAAGAAUUUAAACCACAAAAAUCUGUGAACUUAUUUCCCUUGUACUCUAUUGUUUUAUAUCAAAUCCUCUUUGAUAAUAAUAAAAUUAUCAAUUUUUUUU